GACAGUUAUGGCCAAGUGGUCAAAGGCAUUAGCUUAAGGCACCAGUCCGCAAGGACGUGGGUUCGAACCCUAUAGCUGUCA
Non-coding RNA from Perkinsus chesapeaki, 81 nucleotides. The record is from the annotation of a GenBank genome assembly. NCBI's taxonomy places the organism in Eukaryota, Perkinsozoa, Perkinsida, Perkinsidae.